GACGAACGCUGGCGGCGUGCCUAAUACAUGCAAGUAGAACGCUGAAGCUUGGUGCUUGCACCGAGCGGAUGAGUUGCGAACGGGUGAGUAACGCGUAGGUAACCUGCCUGGUAGCGGGGGAUAACUAUUGGAAACGAUAGCUAAUACCGCAUAACAGUAGAUAUCGCAUGAUAGCUACUUGAAAGGUGCAAAUGCACCACUACCAGAUGGACCUGCGUUGUAUUAGCUAGUUGGUGAGGUAACGGCUCACCAAGGCAACGAUACAUAGCCGACCUGAGAGGGUGAUCGGCCACACUGGGACUGAGACACGGCCCAGACUCCUACGGGAGGCAGCAGUAGGGAAUCUUCGGCAAUGGACGGAAGUCUGACCGAGCAACGCCGCGUGAGUGAAGAAGGUUGUCGGAUCGUAAAGCUCUGUUGUAAGAGAAGAACGAGUGUGAGAGUGGAAAGUUCACACUGUGACGGUAGCUUACCAGAAAGGGACGGCUAACUACGUG
This 497-nucleotide ribosomal RNA is filed under the name uncultured bacterium. RNAcentral describes it as "partial 16S ribosomal RNA". It matches the Rfam family "Bacterial small subunit ribosomal RNA", at positions 28 to 507 of the family's 1533-position model. The record is from RNAcentral.